GAUGAACGCUGGCGGCGUGCCUAAUACAUGCAAGUCGAGCGAACAGACGAGGAGCUUGCUCCUCUGACGUUAGCGGCGGACGGGUGAGUAACACGUGGAUAACCUAUCUAUAAGACUGGGAUAACUUCGGGAAACCGGAGCUAAUACCGGAUAAUAUAUUGAACCGCAUGGUUCAAUAGUGAAAGACGGUUUUGCUGUCACUUAUAGAUGGAUCCGCGCCGCAUUAGCUAGUUGGUAAGGUAACGGCUUACCAAGGCGACGAUGCGUACCCGACCUGAGAGGGUGAUCGGCCACACUGGAACUGAGACACGGUCCAGACUCCUACGGGAGGCAGCAGUAGGGAAUCUUCCGCAAUGGGCGAAAGCCUGACGGAGCAACGCCGCGUGAGUGAUGAAGGUCUUCGGAUCGUAAAACUCUGUUAUUAGGGAAGAACAAAUGUGUAAGUAACUAUGCACGUCUUGACGGUACCUAAUCAGAAAGCCACGGCUAACUACGUG
Molecule: ribosomal RNA, 497 nt
Filed under: uncultured bacterium
Lineage: Bacteria
Description: partial 16S ribosomal RNA
Rfam family: Bacterial small subunit ribosomal RNA
Source: RNAcentral